Gallus gallus (chicken) is the source of this 3052-nucleotide long non-coding RNA. NCBI's taxonomy places the organism in Eukaryota, Metazoa, Chordata, Aves, Galliformes, Phasianidae. The record is from Ensembl.
CGGCUGCCGACCUUCAACUAUUAACCUUUCUUUUUUUUUUUCUCUCUCUUUUUUUUUCCUUCUUUAUCCUGAAAACAGCCGGUAUGGCAAGAAUGCUUUGAUCUGAAUAUUACAGGAUGGAAAAUGAAUCGGGACUGGGAGGUGAUGAGCCAGGGGAGGAAGUGGUGGGCAGCUUCGCCCUGGGUUGCAUGGAAUACAAGUAGAUUGCUCAGACUGGAAUUUCUGAUGCUGUUCACACCUCCCAGCAUGAACCUGAUACCAGACCGGUUUAUAUCAAGAAUACAAACUCUGCGCUCAGGCAAUAUUAUGCAUUAUUCCGUCAGUGCAGCUGUAAGCACCAUAGGAAUGAAGAGGAUCAAAAUGGCAAUUAAUGCUACACUUCUAAGAAUGCCUGUCUUAGUUUCUGAAGUUUGUACUACACUCUCACUUGGCACAGCUCUGCAUUCAACACCUUUCCUUCCCAGGUUGACCACAUCUUUCUGUAAUCUCCUGCCUCCUACUUGCUUCAGUGAAGCCCUAAUCCAGCUCAGCUAUCACCCUGCACAAACAAGCAGCUCUCCAGCUGAUCUCUUUGGCUCAGAGUGAGACUUUUUAGCUGUUCGUCCUCUUCUUCCUCUGCUUCCAUUUGCUCUCCUUUCAGUCUGACUUGCACUAAGGUCUGUUCUUCCCCCAGGGCUCUCUACUUCUGCUGAUGUUCUGGGUCCAUCACAAGGUCUUCGCAAACCUGGCAGUUUCUGCUAGACUAACAGCUGUCUUCAUACUCCCAUAGCUCUGGGGCUUCCUGGAGUCAGAAGCACAUCACAAAGCAAUGAAUUUCAUGACUCCCAUGUGAAAAAAUUACUGGCUUAAAUGAAGUUAGAAGAAACCUUCUGGUCCAGAGGAUGCAAGCCAACCUGCUGGGGUCCCACAGCUGAGCUGCUAAAAUUUGGCCAAAGACAAAUAAAUUCUAUAGGAGAUGGGACAUACUUGAGGUGUGGCAGAGCAGUAAGUUAUUGCUCCACACCUACUGAGUUUUCAGAAUGUCCAAAUGUCUCAGCUGAGCUGCAAGUGGUUGCUUCUUGUUUUUGGCUGGCCUCAGUUCCUCAGAGCAUUGGAAGGAGGAGAUGCAGACACAAGAAGUGUUUCCAUCACAGAAAAAGCUGAACUACAUAAUGUCUGAAACGAUGGCUGGCGGCGUCCAGGCUUGUCUGUGUACCUAUUUGGGGAGCUGGAGAACAGCUCUGGAGGCACUUACGUGAGUCCGGAGUGUCCUUUAGGCGGCUCACUUGGAAGACAAUAAAACUGAUAUUUAGCAGAUUGCUGUCUCACACCUGAAUCGCCAGGAAGGGGUACAACAGCCUUCCCAAGAUGAAAUCCUUUGGUGAGAAAAGGAGCAAACUACAGUGAUGGAGAAAUAACUGUAACCAACCCAAAGGAUUAGGAGACAACCAAUUGCUGUCUCUACAAUACUAGAAAGUGCCUAAGUUCAUAGACCUUCAUUCUUUCCGUGCCAUUAUUCCUUUGUCAUCUUCUUAAUCUGCACAUGGUUGUUCUGUAUGUCUUUGGGUAUACUAGAAAUACAAAAAAUACAAGAAAAUUUCAAAAAGAGGAAAGCCCUCUAAAUUAAUCCAUCUCACCCAAACAACUUUACUUUACCUUUAUAUUGUUUGUAAAAUUUUAAGAAAUACUCAAUGGAAAAAGCUGUAAAGAUACCUUUUCUGCAAGCAUAGCUAAAAUCAUCAACAGACGCUUCCAUCAGAAUUACUAAUGUUUAAAUUCUGUGACUUUCUGCCGUAGCUACUAAAUCCUGCAGCCAUCACAAACACCUCUGUGCUGACCUCGUGAUUCUCAGGACUCCACAAGCUGUAGGAAGAAACUUUUGUGAAUAAAGGCUACAUACUCUGGAAAAUCUGGAAGAGUUUCAUACAGGUGUGCAGUCUGUCUAAAUACUCUUUAACCAUUACGUAUCAUAUUUAAUGGGUGAUGGGAGAACAAUAGCACGUUCUACAAAAUAAUUACUGUAGUUACAGAGCAGAGAUCAUUCCACAUCAAACCCAUAAAGUUAUAAAAUAAUGUACAUAUAUCCUUAGUAUAUUUAGGUAUGACAUUACUGUUUUGAAGUCUGUUUAAUUCUCACACAUCCUUGUCUCUAAGCUCUGACUAGCGUGAAAUUAAUGUCUUUUUAGACCAUGGCAAGCUUUUCUUGCUGGUUUGAAAUCCAUGCUGCCUUUGCUGGUAGGGAUGCUCUUACCGCAGCCCCAGGGGGCUCCUGGAAAUCAAGCAAUACCGUUUUCUUCUGCAGGAGAAAGGAACCAGCUUGGAAGGGGUUAAGUGGCUGGAGACCAGAUGCAGCUGGGCCCUGUUAAUCUGCAGGGACCAGCUGCUUUGUAUAAAAAAGAAGACAAGAAACAGAGUGGCUAGGGCUGGGGGAAAGCUGGGGGUAUUGAAUUGCUUAUGUUCUGGGAAAGGGAGUGAGUGUUUGCAUUUCAGAUGCUCGGUGCUCUGGAAGAGCAAGAAGAGCUCUGUUGGUAUUUGGGUUUGGUUGGGGAUGCUGCUGUUGCUGAUAGUGACUGAGCCUGGGUACUGGCUUUUAGUGCUCAGGUGCUCCUGAAAUGAUGGCUUGCAGGGUAGAAGCCCAGAGUAACUGAGCAAGGCAGGUGUAACAGGCUGCAAACCGGCCUUGAUUUCAUUUGAAUGCUUUUGAAAGAUGGAAAAAGGUUAAUGGAAGCCUCACCACUUUCUGGAUUCCUGAUGCAAAAGCCAGGGUGACUCCUCUCUUAUUUAGAAGGUUCUCAAGCAAAGCAACUACUGUUUCUCAAACAUAAUGAAUUACUUCAUCUGCCCCCAUUGCAAGGAUUGUACCUGUGUAUGCUAUAUCCACAUCAUCCACUGCAGCACUUGCCUGUGACAAAUGGAGUGUAGGAAGAAAGCCCCUGAGUAGUUUUCACUAUAUCUUUUAAGUAUUAAUUCUGAGCAAGUUCUCUGUCUGUCUUACUGUAGCUGCUUUGAAUGAAAUCUAGGCAGAAGUUGAAUUGCAUAAUACUAUGUACAGAGCUAUUGAAAUGUAUUUAGU